GUGAACAGCCAUACCCCUAAACAUUCCCAUCGAGUCUGCUAUCAGACAGGGUAGGUCCUGGAUAGUACUUAGAUGGGAGACUAUCAACUAGACAGGUGUUAUUAAUA
This 107-nucleotide ribosomal RNA is filed under the name Mus pahari (shrew mouse). RNAcentral's name for it is "rRNA (MGP_PahariEiJ_G0032757.1)". The record is from RNAcentral. Lineage: Eukaryota; Metazoa; Chordata; Mammalia; Rodentia; Muridae.